Molecule: ribosomal RNA, 251 nt
Filed under: uncultured Rhizobium sp.
Lineage: Bacteria; Pseudomonadati; Pseudomonadota; Alphaproteobacteria; Hyphomicrobiales; Rhizobiaceae
Description: partial 16S ribosomal RNA
Rfam family: Bacterial small subunit ribosomal RNA
Source: RNAcentral
CGAAGGGGGCUAGCGUUGUUCGGAAUUACUGGGCGUAAAGCGCACGUAGGCGGAUCGAUCAGUCAGGGGUGAAAUCCCAGGGCUCAACCCUGGAACUGCCUUUGAUACUGUCGAUCUGGAGUAUGGAAGAGGUGAGUGGAAUUCCGAGUGUAGAGGUGAAAUUCGUAGAUAUUCGGAGGAACACCAGUGGCGAAGGCGGCUCACUGGUCCAUUACUGACGCUGAGGUGCGAAAGCGUGGGGAGCAAACAGG